Molecule: transfer RNA, 76 nt
Filed under: bacterium
Lineage: Bacteria
Description: tRNA-Ile
Rfam family: tRNA
About the family: Transfer RNA (tRNA) molecules are approximately 80 nucleotides in length. Their secondary structure includes four short double-helical elements and three loops (D, anti-codon, and T loops).
Source: RNAcentral
GCUCCAGUAGCUCAGGGGUUAGAGCACUGCUCUUAUAAAGCAGGGGUCGGUGGUUCAAUCCCACCCUGGAGCACCG